Non-coding RNA from Pangasianodon gigas (Mekong giant catfish), 72 nucleotides. Lineage: Eukaryota; Metazoa; Chordata; Actinopteri; Siluriformes; Pangasiidae. The record is from the annotation of a GenBank genome assembly.
GGCACGGUGGCUUUGUGGUUAGCACGUUUGCCUCGCAACUCCAGGUUGGGGAUUCGAUUCCCGCCUCUGCCC